Molecule: ribosomal RNA, 1230 nt
Filed under: Triticum aestivum (bread wheat)
Lineage: Eukaryota; Viridiplantae; Streptophyta; Magnoliopsida; Poales; Poaceae
Description: partial small subunit ribosomal RNA
Source: RNAcentral
AUGUCUAUGUUCCUUUUGUCUAAAACCAUCAUAGAGAGGUUGGAUAAACACAGAAGGAAAUUCUUCUGGCAGGUGACUAAAAACAGAAAGAGAUACUACCUGGUUAGAUGGUCAAUGAUCUGUAGAUCCAAGGAAAAGGGGGGUUUGGGUGUGAAAGACCUCCACAGGCAAAAUAUAUGCCUUUUGGUGAAAUGGUGGUGGAAACUUGAGAUGAAACAAGGGCUUUGGCAAGAUAUUAUCAGAGCCAAAUAUUUUGGUAGAGACACGAUAGCCUCGGUUAAGGGGAGAAUCACUGACUCUCCGUGCUGGAAGGCCAUUAUGAAAGUGAAAGAUCUAUAUAUGGUUGGGAGGAAAGUGGUCGUGCAUUCUGGUAACAUAGCUAGGCUAUGGAUUGAUCCAGUUGGCGACCAAGCUCCAUUUGCUGAACAAUUUCCCCAGCUUUUUGCCAUCUGCAAUAAUCCUGAUUGUGUCAUGAAGGAUUGUUUGGAUGCUAACCCUAUCGCCUUCUUCCGAAGGAGAUUGAACUCUGAACUUAAUGCGCAAUGGAAGAAAUUGGUUUUGAUGGUUAGGGAAACCUGUGUAUCUACAGAAAGUGAUAGUAUCAAAUGGGGCCUGGGUCCCAAGCCUUACCAUACCACUAAAGCUCUAUAUACCUAUCUGGAAAGAAACAUUGCUGGUUGCGAUUAUCGCUGGAUAUGGAAAGCCCGUAUUCCUUUGAAAAUUCAAAUUUUCAUGUGGCAGCUAUCGCAAGAUGCGGUGCUGACCAGAGAUGUGGUGAAACAUCGAGGAUGGAAAGGGGGACCCAAAUGUUCCUUUUGUGGGGAGAGAGAAACCUCCCAGCAUCUCUUUUUCACUUGCCCCGUUGCCAGGGUUACCUGGAGAGUAGUUGGAUGCAUGUUUGGCACAGAUUUAUGCUCUAACAACUUGUGGCAAGCAUUCUUUUGGUGUUAUACUUUUUUCCCGGGUGGCGAUGUCUUUUAUACAAUGGGCAUUGCAGCUCUAUGUUGGGCUAUUUGGACCUGCCGCAGUCGAGCUACUUUUGAGCACACCCCUCUCAAAACCCCGUUUGAAUGCAUUUUUUCUGCGUGUGCACUUCUUUGUUACUGGGCAGGACUGAUGAAGCAGGAGGAUGCGGCGAGUCUGAGGGCUGGAGGAGCUCUGCUGAAGGACAACACGUCUCGCAUGAUGAGGAUCUGCGCAACGGCGCACCAGGAUGGAGGAGUGCGCUGA